UAGGGAAUCUUCGGCAAUGGGGGGAACCCUGACCGAGCAACGCCGCGUGAGUGAAGAAGGUUUUCGGAUCGUAAAGCUCUGUUGUUAAGGAAGAACGAGUGUGAGAAUGGAAAGUUCAUGCUGUGACGGUACUUAACCAGAAAGGGACGGCUAACUACGUGCCAGCAGCCGCGGUAAUACGUAGGUGGCAAGCGUUGUCCGGAUUUAUUGGGCGUAAAGCGAGCGCAGGCGGUCAAUUAAGUCUGAUGUGAAAGCCCCCGGCUCAACCGGGGAGGGUCAUUGGAAACUGGUUGACUUGAGUGCAGAAGAGGAGAGUGGAAUUCCAUGUGUAGCGGUGAAAUGCGUAGAUAUAUGGAGGAACACCAGUGGCGAAGGCGACUCUCUGGUCUGUAACUGACGCUGAGGUUCGAAAGCGUGGGGAGCGAACAGG
RNAcentral lists this ribosomal RNA (430 nucleotides) under Bacteroidota bacterium. RNAcentral describes it as "Bacteroidetes bacterium partial 16S ribosomal RNA". It matches the Rfam family "Bacterial small subunit ribosomal RNA", at positions 355 to 776 of the family's 1533-position model. Lineage: Bacteria; Pseudomonadati; Bacteroidota. The record is from RNAcentral.